UACGGAGGAUGCAAGCGUUAUCCGGAUUCAUUGGGUUUAAAGGGUGCGCAGGCGGAACGGUAAGUCAGUGGUGAAAGCCUACAGCUCAACUGUAGAAUUGCCAUUGAUACUGUCGUUCUUGAGUAUAGUUGGAGUGGGCGGAAUGUAUCAUGUAGCGGUGAAAUGCUUAGAUAUGAUACAGAACACCAAUCGCGAAGGCAGCUCACUAAGCUAUAACUGACGCUCAUGCACGAAAGCGUGGGGAGCAAACAGG
This 253-nucleotide ribosomal RNA is filed under the name uncultured bacterium. RNAcentral describes it as "partial 16S ribosomal RNA". It matches the Rfam family "Bacterial small subunit ribosomal RNA", at positions 524 to 776 of the family's 1533-position model. The record is from RNAcentral.